Molecule: ribosomal RNA, 293 nt
Filed under: uncultured bacterium
Lineage: Bacteria
Description: partial 16S ribosomal RNA
Rfam family: Bacterial small subunit ribosomal RNA
Source: RNAcentral
AAUCAACGCUGGCGGCGUGCCUAACACAUGCAAGUCGAACGCGAAAGCCCUUUCGGGGGUAAGUAGAGUGGCGUCCGGGUGAGUAACACGUAGGUAAUCUACCUUCGGGUGGGGAAUAACUCGCCGAAAGGCGAGCUAAUACCGCAUAAUGCAGCGGCACCUAAUGGUGAUUAGUUGUUAAAGCGGGGAUCGUAAGACCUCGCGCCUGAAGAGGAGCCUGCGGCAGAUUAGCUAGNGGUGAGGUAAUGGCGUCACCAAGGCUUCGAUCUGUAGCUGGUCUGAGAGGACGGCCA